Molecule: long non-coding RNA, 6262 nt
Filed under: Triticum aestivum (bread wheat)
Lineage: Eukaryota; Viridiplantae; Streptophyta; Magnoliopsida; Poales; Poaceae
Description: long non-coding RNA (TAES_LNC020237)
Source: RNAcentral
CCGUCUGUGCGCCAUGGGGGCGAUCAGCUCGGCGGGGAUCUCCAACACCCACGUACGCAGGUGCCUUUACCUUCCGCUCCCCUCUCCCCCUGGCCACUGGCCGCGCUCGCUUGAGAUCUGCCGGAGCUCCGGCCUCCGGCCUCCGGCACCCCUCGAGAGGUUAGGGCCAUUUUAUUGCCAAACUCUAGGGUUCGCAUCGGCUGUUGGGCACCCUCUGUGCUCAAAUUGGCAGCGGGGUUUGAUCCGAGAAGCAAAAGUUAGUGGUUUCUGGGGCAUUGCUACUGACUACGGUAGUAUUAAAUGGCCAGUCGCGUCGUGGGUGGGUGCAAAUUCAGCUUUGGUGGUGUUGGAAUAAACCUGGAUUUUACAAUGUUGCUGUGCGGAUUUUACAUAGCACCUACAUCGCCUCCUGGGGGCACGGUCAUAGAUUUGGCCUUCUUGCCUCAUUUAUGUCACUGUCCACAUGAAGCAGAAUUAUUCAUAGCAAGAAUAACAUCAUGCUAUCUCCCUCUCUUCCACUGUGUUGUCCCAACCUAGAUGCAUAAUCCUAGAUUUUCUUCUAAACAUUGGACCUUUGUUUUGAAACACAACCCUUCAUUGCAUUGGCACCAACCUUACGAGAAUUUCCCUGUAACAGUAUAUGCCAAAACAGUGAUAUGGAUUAACUAGUUACAGAUAGAACCAUUUGAUUAUGCAUAAUAAUAGAAAUCAUUUGUUACCACUGCAAACGAAAGUAUUUUUCAUUGUCAAAUACAGAACACACACCCACUAUUUUUCAUCUCAGGUUCAAAUUACAAAUAUGAAAUCUCUAAAACUAUAUCAGCACCUUGUGACUCUAAAGCCAAGAUUGUUCUUUUGUCCACAUCUGCAUUCUUGUUAUCAAAUCUAAAUCCACGGUGUCACUUAUUGUACUACAACAUACAGUUCACUACAACUGUAGAUGGAGAAUCUUCUACAACUCUCUUAUGAAAUGAUAUUUCAACUUUGUUCAGAAAUCCUACCAUCUACGAUUGAAUCGCAGUCAGUCACUAGCUCUUUUGCUCUUGCCACAAGGGCGGAGAUAGGGGUGCUGUACUCCAUGAGACCUGCAUCACCCAAUAAGAGUUUGUAGUCCUCAGCCUUCGACAGUGUUUGUUCUACCACUGAUAGGGCUUCUGUCAUCCUGAAUUCGUUGAAACAGUUUGCAUAGUGAUAAUUGCACUCCACCAUGUUAAUGACUUGCUCAAGUAUCACCCUUCUGAUCCCAGGACAAUGAGCACUAGGUUCCAUGUUUGCAUUCAACGCAUCAAUCAGCCUCUUCACGAAUCUCUGCUUAAUCUGACCGCCCUCUAGUUCUUCGGUAAAGUCUUUGGGGAUGAUUCUACAAAUCUGUGAACUAAGGCCAAUGAGGAUCUCUAGUUCUGCCCCUUCCACAUCAAUUAUUUUUUCCAACACCUGUAGUGAAAUGUAUCGUCAUUAAUGACAAUAUAAUGUGCAACUAUACUAUGUUAUUCAGUGAUAAGUAAACAUGCAGAAGUAAAAAAUUGCAGGUUAAACUAACACAAACAACUUUACGCACAAGAACAAGUAUAAAUAGUAAACUUCAUUAGCCACCUCUAAUAGUGCAGUCAUUGCUUGUAUUAACAGGGCUCACCUCUCUCAAGGUAUGAGAUAGUUCCUUCAGGUCUGACUCUCUGAGCUCGGGUUGAGCGUGUAGGCACAGAUUGCGCAACAGGCUUGCUGCCACAUAUAUGUACUUGCCAUGGAUCGAGAUCAUAGGUUUGAGUUUCUUAAUGAACUCUGGUUCCUUCAACACAAUCAAGCAAUUUUGGACACUUUCUGUUGUGAGCAUUGCCAGUGCUUGCCCGGUGACCUUCCGUGAUAAGUGAUCAGCAUUGGUACUCAUGGUUCCUUCUCCAUUGAUAAAUGUCUGCGUCAGCCUAAUGAUGAUCAGUUGAAUGCGACCAAUCUCCUGCCUUGUGUUCCCAUCAAUGGCAAUGUUCCUGAGGAUUCCUGCCACCAACUUUAUCAAUUCCUGGCUGCUCCCGUUGUAUUCCAAGGUUUCUGCAAGGUUUCUCAAUAGCAAGGGAUGUUUUGAUAUCUUGUACCGCAGUGUUAUGCCGAUUUCCCCACCAAUGCUUGCGAGUCUUUGCAGCACUGUCAGUGAUGACUUAAGCAGGAGCUUUUGUUGUGUUUCGGUAUCCACAGUGUUCAUGGCAUGUCUGAAUCUUGUGAAUCCUAUGAUCUUCGGGAUGAGGUUAGCUGCAUUGCUGAUUUGCACACAGUUUUCCUGAUCACAACCAGCAAGACUUUCAAUAAUUGACAUGGCCAGUGCAGGGAGAAGAUCAUGGUCUGUCGGUAGCUGCUCCUUGGGAACCGAACAUAAUUCUAAAAUAUGCUGCCAGCAUUUGAGUAUGUAAGAAUUUGGCUUGUCAUUGCAGGCUUGUUGGGUUGAGCAGGCUUGUGUUUCCUCGAGCAGGUUAUCGGUGUCUUGAAGUUGUUCUCGUCUUUGCCCUUGGUUAUCAGCUACAUCCCUUACUGUAUGUUGCUCUUGGCCAUCUUCCAGAAAUUGGUCUUGUUUUUCUUGUUCAUCAUCUGUGUCCAGAAGCAGAUUUCCUCUUUUUGUUCCACUGUCAGCAUCAAGAAGUGCGGACACAAGCUGUAUUGUACCGGGGAAAGUGACGACACGGAGGUCCUUUGCAAGUUCAGCGGUGACCUUCGCAGCAUAUAAUCUGAUAGUUGUAUCCUUUGGACUUGUCCAAUCCAACAUGCUAAUUAUUCUGGCCACUGUCUUGGUAGAAGUGGCGAGUUUUGAAAGUAGUUGUGCCUUGGUUGGCUCCCUUUGCAGAAAGCUGGGCAUCAUCUGAAUACCAUAGAUCUGAUUCUUGGAUGAAUCCGAGUUUAGAGAAUCCAUGGCAAAGUUACUCAGGCUGAUCUUCUUUGGAGCAAGCACACCCUCCUGCAUGCAUUUCUCCAAGGCGUACGCAUAGUACAGAUCGACAGAUUUCACUCCCCAGUAACCUCUAAACCCACCACAAUGGACAAGGAAUCUCCGAGGGAUGAAAGAAAAUAACUCGAGCAUGCAAGCCACAGCGUAGAGGACUCCUUGCCCAAGCACCAUCCAAUAGAAAAUUCUGAGAGAUGCUUUCAGGUUCUCUUGAUCAUCCUUGUACUCAUGCUGUAAGCCCAAGCUUGCUAGCCAGAUACGCACCACUGCUGCUGGAACCUGGAAGUUGCCAAAUGACACCACCACCAAGGCACACGCUUGAACUAUCAAGAUAACAAGGAUGUUCGUGGGUUGACCUAACUGUAGGAUGUACACCUGCAUCCCUAGCGCAGCAAUCAUGCACAAGUUUAUAACAACUCGGUGCCAAAAUUCCUGUUUGCUGCCAAGAAUACUAUCCGCUAGUUUAAUGACUCUGGUGAACCGUAGCCUGCUUAUUGUUACCAAUAGCACUGGCACCAGUAGUGUUGUGAAUACAAUCCAACUGAUCAGGCCUAUCCAUCUGUUGUAUGGAUCAUGAUCAUCACCAUCAUAUGUGUAUUUAUUAAUACAAGCUGAUAGAGGGGGAGCCGUGAGUAAAAUUGCAACCAAGGGGCUCCAUAGCGAUGUGGCACGGCUUAGCGGUUUCCAUAUGUGCAGUUUCAGCCCGGACAGGAACCGGACAGUUGCAAGUAUUAUUACCAUCGCUAGAAGCGUCAUAUCAGUCAUAUAAUAUUUCCUCCAGAGGAUCACGAAAACAUCAAAAAAGCAUAGUACCACAACCAGUCCAUUCCAUCCCAUAGGUCUAAAGGCUCCCCUUGUGUUAAAGAACAGUUGGUAAUCCAUUCUGUUGUUGCGGGUGAACAUCCUGAAUUAUCAAGUAUGCAUAUAUGGUGUCAUUAAAUGAUAUAUGGACACAAACCCAAGAUGAUGAGCAUCCAGAUCAUACUCCAGUGUUUAAGAAAGAUAGACAUGAUUCCAGUAGAUCAUAAUAAUGCUAGGCUCUUGUUAAAUCGGACCCUAACUGUGCUAAGCCUAGCUUGGUGGCAUUGAUGCAGCAAUAGGCAGAGUAUAUUUUUCUACUAGCGGUCGAUGAACUAGUUGCAAGUAUAGAUGUUUCCAAUGCAUGCCCUGCUAGUUUCAAGUUUGGGUCGUUAAACCUAAUUUCAUGACAGGGACGGUAGAAAAGUUGCAUUAUUCUAGGAGAACACCGACGGCGUACCUAUAAUUGAGUGAUAAUUGUUAUUAUUAUAUAAUUACUCACAUGUUGUCAAUAUACAAGUUUCCAUGGCUUAACUGGGGAAAGUCUAACAGGAAGCUAGGAACCUAUAUCCAUAAUUGGGGAAAGGCUAAUUUCAAUCGUUAGAUUGUACACUUCAAAACUUCCAAUUUUUUUAUGGUACUACAUAGUGUUAAUUUAGGUACAUGUACACAAAUUGGAGAGAGAAGCCUAACCCAACUUGUUUGGGACUAAAGACUUUGUUGUUGUUGUUGUAGUACACAGAUUGGAGAGAGAGAGAAAGGUUAUAACAAAGCUCAUCAAUGCAGGUGGGUGACCAUGGGCUAGCAAUCAAUCAGCCAGCCUCAUAUCCUCCUGGCCAUAUUGCGCUAAGCAGUACUGGCGCUAAGGUAUGAGCAUCCGUUACACUCUUUUCUGCCAACAAAUGUUCCUAAAUUAACGCUUUAUGAUAUGUUGAGGUUAAUUUUGAGAACUUCCGUAAAAAUGUACAAAUCAGCGAGAGGUUUCUAUUCAUGGAUGUAUGUAUGCUCACAAAAACUGAUUAUCAUCAUACCUUAUAGCUUCGAGGAAUACUAUCGCUGCUGCAUACCAAAAAUCAUGAUCCAAACUGAGAUCCUUGGAGUAGCCUCCGAGCAGGACAACAGUCGCCCACGUGAAGGCCAGCGUGCCCAAGGCAUUGCCAAGCCUCUCGAUCAGCGCGACGAAGCGAACAAAGUGAUUCAGCCCCAUUUCCGGCUUGGCAGCAGCAGCGGCCUUGUCUACUUGUCUGGCACCGUAAUGAGAUGGUGGCAUUGAGAUGCAGUGCUCUCUCCCUCGUCCGUUGGCCAUUGCUUGGACGGGCUCGGGAGCUUCUCAGCGGCGAUUGAUUGUCUGAUUAUCUAUGCAACAGUGAAUGAGACCCAGAUGCUACGGAUUGCCAUAUGGCAUGGUAACACCACGCUGCCGUUGCCUGUCACGGUAGGUGAGUCGAUUAGUUAAACCUCGGAAUAUAUAAUAGUGGACGUGCUUUUAAGAAAAGCAUGCCAAAGUGCUGCACAUAUUUUACUGCUGAUCGCUUUUGUUUGUGCCAUGCAUGGUGCCUGCCUUCAUCGGCAUGCCUUAUCCAUCACAUGCGCACAUGUCAUUGAACUAGGAGGACAUACACUGAUGAUCUCAUGACCAUGUGGCUGGAUUUAAAAUUCAUUGCCAGUUCUAAAGGAGUCUUCCUCCAAAUCACUGUAUGAGUGAACUUGGGAGGUGCCCAAACCUGCCGUGUUGCCAGCUGUAUGGCAAAUUAAAAUUUCCCCCAAGAUGCAGGGUUUCCUGUGGCUUCUAUCUCAGAACAAAGUGAUGGCCUGUGAUAACUUGAGGAGGAGGAGGGGCAUGGCAAAACCUCUCGAGUGUAGACACUACUGAAACUGAGUCGGUGUAGCAUUUGUUUUUUGAGUGUAUUGUUGCAAAAGCCAUUUGGGAUGAUGUUGAGCUUAUAUUUGAUGUUAGCAUUGUGGAUUUUAAGUCUUUAGCUGUUCAUAGGAUUUGAUUUAAGAAAAGCUCUCAGUUAAACUUUGUUUCUUCUGCUGUUCCGUGGGGAGUAUGGAAUUGCAGAAAUGAUUGGAUUUCUAUGAAACAGGUGUGGCAUCUGAUAGUAGGACAUCUGAGGAAAAAGAUGCCUUGUUCAGGGGGUUGAUGCCCAGGAAACCGAGAUCGCCAAUGAAACUGGAACCAGGCUGAUCGGUACGGUGGUUUCGGACCAUCCAUCCUGGGCUGAAGCCGGUGCUGAUGCUGAGCAUGGUGGCCGUGCUUCUCUGAGCUACCUGAUGAAGAAUCGACAAAGGAGUGAUGAAAUCCAUGUCGUCUCGGACUGGGAGAAGCUCGAAGAUUGAUGCUGCUAGCUUGUCUGUCUUGGCUAGUGUUGCUUUACAUGUUGCUUUCUGCUCCAUGGAGUUUGUAACGAACUUAAUUGUUUUACUUUUGCGUUGCGUUCCUUGCCCCUCUGGCUCGGGGGGAGAGAUACGUGCUGUGAAAGCUAAUUCCAAAUAGCUGUUUCGAUGUGCUGUAGAUCAUGUUGCAGACAGGCCUUC